RNAcentral lists this ribosomal RNA (422 nucleotides) under uncultured archaeon. RNAcentral describes it as "partial 16S ribosomal RNA". It matches the Rfam family "Archaeal small subunit ribosomal RNA", at positions 323 to 746 of the family's 1478-position model. The record is from RNAcentral.
CUACGGGUGGCUGCAGUUAAGUAUCUUCUACAAUGCGCGCAAGCGUGAUAGAGUGAAUCAGAGUGCUUUUCAAAGAAAAGCUUUUGCCGAAUGUAAAAAAUUCGGCGAAUAAGGACUGGGUAAGACGAGUGCCAGCCGCCGCGGUAGUAUACUCGCGGUCCAAGUCGCAGCCAUUUUUAUUGGGUCUAAAACAUCCGUAGCUUGUUUGGUAAGUCUCCUGUGAAAUCCGGCAUCUCAAGUGUCGGGCGCGCGGGAGGUACUGCUAGGCUAGAGACCGGAAGACGGGAAGAGUACAAUUGAGGUAAUGGUAAAAUAUGUUAAUCUUGGUUGGACUAACAAGAGCGAAGGCACUUUCCGAGGACGGUUCUGACAGUAAGGGAUGAAGGCCAGGGGCGCAAAACGGAUUAGAUACCCCAGUAGUC